Molecule: microRNA precursor, 102 nt
Filed under: Marmota monax (woodchuck)
Lineage: Eukaryota; Metazoa; Chordata; Mammalia; Rodentia; Sciuridae
Source: RNAcentral
AAUGGACUUGCUGGGUUAUAAGGUACUAUAUGCUUGACAUUAGUAGAAAUUACCAAAGAAUUUUGCAAAAUGGUAAUAGCAUUUUAUACUCCCUUUAGCAUG